Molecule: ribosomal RNA, 1299 nt
Filed under: uncultured bacterium
Lineage: Bacteria
Description: partial 16S ribosomal RNA
Rfam family: Bacterial small subunit ribosomal RNA
Source: RNAcentral
UGGGGGCAUGCUUAACACGCAAGUCGAACGGCAGCGGGUCCUUCGGGACGCCGGCGAGUGGCGAACGGGUGAGUAAUGCAUCGGAACGUACCCAGUAGUGGGGGAUAACUUACCGAAAGGUAAGCUAAUACCGCAUACGCACUGAGGUGGAAAGCAGGGGACCGCAAGGCCUUGCGCUAUUGGAGCGGCCGAUGUCGGAUUAGCUAGUUGGUGGGGUAAAGGCCUACCAAGGCGACGAUCCGUAGCGGGUCUGAGAGGAUGAUCCGCCACACUGGAACUGAGACACGGUCCAGACUCCUACGGGAGGCAGCAGUGGGGAAUUUUGGACAAUGGGCGCAAGCCUGAUCCAGCCAUGCCGCGUGAGUGAAGAAGGCCUUCGGGUUGUAAAGCUCUUUCGGCCGGGAAGAAAUCGUGGUGGCGAAUACCUGCCAUGGAUGACGGUACCGGACUAAGAAGCACCGGCUAACUACGUGCCAGCAGCCGCGGUAAUACGUAGGGUGCGAGCGUUAAUCGGAAUUACUGGGCGUAAAGCGUGCGCAGGCGGUUGUGUAAGACAGGCGUGAAAUCCCCGGGCUCAACCUGGGAACUGCGCUUGUGACUGCACGGCUAGAGUACGGCAGAGGGGGGUGGAAUUCCACGUGUAGCAGUGAAAUGCGUAGAGAUGUGGAGGAACACCGAUGGCGAAGGCAGCCCCCUGGGUCGAUACUGACGCUCAUGCACGAAAGCGUGGGGAGCAAACAGGAUUGGAUACCCUGGUAGUCCACGCCCUAAACGAUGUCGACUAGUUGUUGGAGGGGUAAAACCCUUUAGUAACGUAGCUAACGCGUGAAGUCGACCGCCUGGGGAGUACGGCCGCAAGGUUAAAACUCAAAGGAAUUGACGGGGACCCGCACAAGCGGUGGAUGAUGUGGAUUAAUUCGAUGCAACGCGAAAACCUUACCUACCCCUGACCAUGCCAGAACUUGCCCGAGAAGGCUUGGUGCCCGCAAGGGAACCCGGACCCCGGUGCCGCCUGGCUUUUGUCAACUUGUGUUGUGAGAAGUUGGGUUAAGUUCCGCAACGAGCGCCACCCUUGUCCUUAGUUGCCCUCCUUUGGUUGGGCCCUUUAAUGAGGCUUCCGGUGACAAACCGGAGGAAGGUGGGGAAGGCGUCAAGUCCUCCUGGCCCUUAUGGGUAGGGCUUCCCCCGUCCUUCCAUGGUUGGUACCGAGGGUUGCCCAACCGCGAGGGGGAACCCAUUUUAGAAAACCGAUUGUAGUUCGGAAUGCCGUUUGCAACUUGGCUGCCGAAGUUGGGAUCG